UCCAAUGACAUUUAUUUCCUGCAUCUCAUUUUGGAGUGGUUUUAAAUAUUAUCAGGAGAAAUUUUGCUUCACUCAUAGCCAUAUGUUGAUUUACUGUCGAACUAUUAUUGAACUUGCAAUGACUAUUGAAAAUAUGUAAAAGCCUUUAAAGGCGAGGAAGUUGAAAGGUAAAUAAGUGGAAGGUGAGGAAAUUGAGAGGUGAAAAGUGUGGAUUGUGGUACAUAUUUUGUCUGGCGGGAAGUGACCUGCAAAGCAAAGUCUAUCCGCUCGAGAUCUUGGCUACACAUUAUUCAUUGACGGAUAAUCAGAUUUUGAAAUUACAAUCAGCAGACGAAGAAAAUGUCUGCUGUCUCCAUCUCCUCUUCUUGCUCUCAUCAGCUGCAUCACUCUUCCAAAGAACUCAUCACUUCACAUUCUUUAGCCUCAAUUCAUUUUCCGCGAAAAGGGCAAAACACCAGUACUAAUUUCGACGACAUUAAUAAUGAAUGCCGUGCAAAGUCAUGUGUGAAAGCAGCUCCUCAACGUUUGAAGUGGAGGACUAGAGUUUCUUUCUUUCCAUCGUUCUCGAUCAAAGACGGAGACAUUGAGACCCUAAAGCAGGAGCUUCUCGAGGCUAUUGCCCCUCUUGAUCGCGGUGCUGAGGCCACCGCUGAAGACCAAGAGCGUGUAGAUCAGAUUGCUCGUAAACUGGAAGCAGUCAAUAAAGUAAAGGAGCCACUCAAGUCCAGCUUGUUAAAUGGUAAAUGGGAGCUUCUCUACACAACUUCCAAGUCAGUUCUGCAACCUCAGAGGCCUAAACUUUUACGCCCUAAUGGGAAAAUGUAUCAAGCGAUUAAUGUGGACACAUUGAGGGCUCAGAAUAUGGAAACUUGGCCAUUCUUCAACCAGGCCACAGCCAAUUUAGUUCCCCUCAAUACAAGAAGGGUGGCAGUUAAAUUUGACUCCUUCAAGAUUGCUGGUGUGCAAUUUGCUGUUAUAGAUGUUUGUGUAGGAUAUUUAAGUUGGCAAAAGCAACGCAAGUGGGAUGUAACUUAAACCUGGAGCAUCUGCUGUGCAUUGCUCCAUGAUCGUUUCAAGUCUUGAGCAUACAGAAAGGUUGAGAUAAUCAACUAGUCUUUUGUGGUUCACAGAUACCUAUAAUGGAACGUGGCAGUGGUCGUGGAGAGUUGGAAAUUACAUACCUUGAUGAAGAGUUACGGAUAUCCAGGGGCAACCAAGGUAACCUGUUUAUUUUAAGAAUGGUCGAUCCGUCCUACAGAGUCCCUCUAUAACGCUUACUGUAACAGUAUUACAGGGAAAAGCAUAGUCUUUUGUACCUUUUUUUUUUAUUCUGGGAGGGGUUUUUGGAGGGGGGAGGGGGGGUUUGUCACAACAAGUAUGCAUAAUUCUAGCAGAAAAAGAUUGAUUAUGUAGUCCUCAGUUAGAAUUUCAUUCUUAAUGCUCCAAUCUGUGUCCCGAGUCCUGAGUAUGGAUUCCCCCUGGCUGUGAUUGUAUGGAGCUUUCGCUGUGAUGCUCCAAUAUGUGCAAGGCAUCCAUGCUUAAUUUCUUCAAAUUAGUCCAUUUUUGCAUUUAGUUGUCUAUUUUUAGCUGA
Molecule: RNA transcript, 1591 nt
Organism: Coffea arabica (coffee)
Lineage: Eukaryota; Viridiplantae; Streptophyta; Magnoliopsida; Gentianales; Rubiaceae
Gene name: probable plastid-lipid-associated protein 4, chloroplastic
Source: RefSeq, a predicted model, not a curated record